ACGGUAAGUAUGAUAGCAAUAUUAUAUGAGAGUGACGUACGGGUGCGUAACACGUAUGCAACCUACCCUUUACAGGCGGAUAGCUCGGGGAAACUCGGAUUAACCCGUCAUAAUAUAAUUGGAUGGCAUCAUUUGAUUAUUAAAUCUACGGAGGUAAAGGAUGGGCAUGCGUCUGAUUAGUUAGUUGGCGGGGUAAUGGCCCACCAAGACGAUGAUCAGUAGGGGAACUGAGAGGUUGAUCCCCCACACUGGCACUGAGAUACGGGCCAGACUCCUACGGGAGGCAGCAGUAGGGAAUAUUGGUCAAUGGAUGGAAGUCUGAACCAGCCAUGCCGCGUGCAGGAAGAAGGCCUUCUGGGUUGUAAACUGCUUUUGCCAGGGGCUAAAAAGCUCAUGCGUGGGAAAUUGAAAGUACCUGGUGAAUAAGCCACGGCUAACUA
RNAcentral lists this ribosomal RNA (440 nucleotides) under uncultured soil bacterium. RNAcentral's name for it is "bacterial SSU rRNA". It matches the Rfam family "Bacterial small subunit ribosomal RNA", at positions 66 to 503 of the family's 1533-position model. The record is from RNAcentral.